AAGCAAUUUGCUUUCGGGAAGUAAUGGAGUUCUUGGGCUUAACUCUACGUCUCCUUCCGAAUCGCUUAUCCGUUCUGCCGCCGCCUUCACAUUCGAUCUCUACUUAUCCCUCUCUCUCUUGAUCGAUACGGCGAUGGCUCCGUUGUCGGCGCUAGUCCAGUACAAGCUGGGGUUCUUGGGCGAUCAGUCGGUGGAAAACCGGCAUCAUCACCAGAUUCAUGUACGACAAGUUCGACAAUGCCUAUCCGGUCGAUCGGCUGGCAAUCUUUCUUAACUACUUCAAAGUGGUUUGAAGAAGUUUGAAGAGUGGGGAACUGAUGUUAUUAUCAUGCUUGUUGAGAACAAAACUGACCUUGUUGACAAAAGGUCUUAACGGAGGAAGGAGAAGCCAAGGCCAAAGAUCUUGGUUCAUGUUCAUUGAAACAAGUGCAGAAGCUGGCUUCGAUGUAAAAGUAUGUUUUUACACUCUGUGAUUCCUAUCUGUGGCUGAUUUUAUUUCUAGACAAACUUGUUAUCCUAGUCACUGCAGAUAUGCAUCCUGCAAUUGCACAUACUGUUGAAUUAAGUUUAGUUUAUAUCAGUUGGUCAAUUAAUU
Musa acuminata AAA Group (dessert banana) is the source of this 595-nucleotide long non-coding RNA. RefSeq lists it as uncharacterized. The transcript has 3 exons. Lineage: Eukaryota; Viridiplantae; Streptophyta; Magnoliopsida; Zingiberales; Musaceae. The record is from RefSeq and is a predicted model, not a curated record.